RNAcentral lists this small RNA (449 nucleotides) under Pan troglodytes (chimpanzee). RNAcentral's name for it is "processed transcript". Lineage: Eukaryota; Metazoa; Chordata; Mammalia; Primates; Hominidae. The record is from RNAcentral.
AAACCCAGAGAAAAUAGAAAUGCCACCACCUCGGUGCCAGAUCUCCUAGAUGCCCACCUACAGGUAAGGCAUCUUACCAGUUCUUAUGCACUGCAAUGGCCACUAAAUACCUUUAUCAAUGAAUGUGUCAACCUUUCUGGCAUAUGACCAGCCCACAAUAAGUUACUGUGGGGUGCAUCAUGAACUUCUCUCCCAUAAGUCCUUUGAAACGAAUGCACAGGAAGAUACGAUGGAAACACACCUAGAGACUGAGCUGGACCUGAGCACAAUCACAACAGCUGGCCGAAUCAGUGACCAUAAACAGCAGCUAGCUUAACUGAGAUCAUUGGUAGCCAGGGGUUGCUACCAAACUUUGUAACCUCAAGGACAAAAUGAGGAAGAUGUGUUCAUUGUGGACUCUAAAAACAAAACAAAACACAAAAUCCCCUGUUCAAAUAAACAAAAAAUCC